GGUCGACAGAGCGAGACUCCGUCUCAAAACAAAACAAAACAAAACGUCUCAAAACAAACCAAACAAAAAACACCUAACUUGUGAUUAAUAAGAUUUUUCUCAAUAUUCUUAGAAUACAAUCACUAAGUCCAAAUGGGCAUUAAUUUGUAAGUAGAGCCUAGCCUCAUGAAGGUUUAUAAUUGGAAAAAUAUUAGAAUACUAUAAUAUAUAGUAUUUUUAGUUUUUUAAAAAAGAAAUUGAGUUUUUAAAAUUAAACAUUCUGUGAUAAUUUUUUAGAAGAUAGAUCAAUUCCGUUAGGCUGAUGAUAGCUAACUAAAUAUGCAAUAAUCCAUAAGAAAGUGUUGGCCGGGCGCAGGGCUAAAGAAUGGCUAAGUUCAGUAUUAAGAAAAGCAGAAAGAUUGCGAUCCAUAAAAAAUCCUGACCACUAAAUAGAUUUAGUGAUCUAAUUAUAGCUAUGAUAAGGAAGCAAGGAGAAUAAUCUAGUAUUUUCCCUACCAAAAUACCUUUACUAGAUCUCUUAUUUGCAUUCUAGAGAUUGUUCUCUGCCUCCUAAAUAUCUAACACCCAACACAGUAACCCAAAGUAGUAUCCAAUUUUAAAAAGUGAUUGCUAUUUUGUGAGUUAAUUAUAAUUACUCCAGUCUCCAGAUUAACUACAGAUUUGAGUAACUGUUUAACUGAAGUAAAAUCAUUGCUACCUACCACUUGUAGUAAGGAUUACAGGUCGUUUAGUUGUUGCCAUGAAUGUUUUGAUUGCAUUCAGAAACCCAGCAUCUUCAUCAAAGAUUACAUCAACCUACAAACAAUUUAUUGAAUAUUAAUGUAAUACGUAACAAUACACUUACUGAAUAUCAGUUAUGUAUACACAGUAAAUAUUCUGUCUGUUAGAGACAAAAUUUAUGAAUUUAUGAACAGUGUGAAUUCAGCCCAUGUUGAAAGUUUAUAAUGUCACACGCUAUAAUGAAUUUUAAAAUUAUUAACUAUCAAAUGUU
Molecule: long non-coding RNA, 991 nt
Organism: Sapajus apella (tufted capuchin)
Lineage: Eukaryota; Metazoa; Chordata; Mammalia; Primates; Cebidae
Exons: 2
Source: RefSeq, a predicted model, not a curated record